This is a long non-coding RNA of Myxocyprinus asiaticus (Chinese sucker), 226 nucleotides long. RefSeq lists it as uncharacterized. The record is from RefSeq and is a predicted model, not a curated record. Lineage: Eukaryota; Metazoa; Chordata; Actinopteri; Cypriniformes; Catostomidae. The transcript has 3 exons.
UCUGACUUCAUCCUUGCCCAGCCUGUGGGACAGCCAAAAAAUGCUGGGACAAGUUAAGGGCUCAGAGGUGGUGAACAGUGGAUGAAGAUAUUAGACAAAAGACUUCACCACCUACUCUGUGCUCAAGGACACCUAAACAUCUAGCUCCGCUAGACAGUAGAUUUAAGGAUGGCUCUGCGCUUUCAAAACUUGAGCACCCACUACCCUUAAAAAAACUAGCAUCUCU